Molecule: non-coding RNA, 31 nt
Organism: Chelonia mydas (Green sea turtle)
Lineage: Eukaryota; Metazoa; Chordata; Testudines; Cheloniidae
Source: Rfam
ACAUUUUCUUGGUCAGUGCAUUAAAAAAUGU